UACGUAGGGGGCAAGCGUUGUCCGGAAUCAUUGGGCGUAAAGCGCGUGUAGGCGGCUCGGUAAGUCCGCUCUGAAAGUCCAGGGCUCAACCCUGGGAUGCGGGUGGAUACUGCCGGGCUCGAGUCCGGAAGAGGCGAGUGGAAUUCCCGGUGUAGCGGUGGAAUGCGUAGAGAUCGGGAAGAACAUCGGUGGCGAAGGCGGCCUGCUGGGCUCUUGCUGACACUGAGGCGCGACAGCGUGGGGAGCAAACAGG
RNAcentral lists this ribosomal RNA (253 nucleotides) under uncultured bacterium. Its description in RNAcentral is "partial 16S ribosomal RNA". It matches the Rfam family "Bacterial small subunit ribosomal RNA", at positions 524 to 776 of the family's 1533-position model. The record is from RNAcentral.